RNAcentral lists this ribosomal RNA (401 nucleotides) under Salmonella enterica subsp. enterica serovar Typhimurium. RNAcentral's name for it is "bacterial LSU rRNA". It matches the Rfam family "Bacterial large subunit ribosomal RNA", at positions 1405 to 1789 of the family's 2925-position model. The record is from RNAcentral. Lineage: Bacteria; Pseudomonadati; Pseudomonadota; Gammaproteobacteria; Enterobacterales; Enterobacteriaceae.
AUAGGCGUAGGCGAUGGGAAACGGGGUAAUAUUCCCGUACUUGGUGUUACUGCGAAGGGGGGACGGAGAAGGCUAUGUUGGCCGGGCGACGGUUGUCCCGGUUUAAGCGUGUAGGUGUGUGUUCCAGGUAAAUCCGGUUCACUUUAACACUGAGGCGUGACGACGAGGCACUACGGUGCUGAAGCAACAAAUGCCCUGCUUCCAGGAAAAGCCUCUAAGCAUCAGGUAACAUCAAAUCGUACCCCAAACCGACACAGGUGGUCAGGUAGAGAAUACCAAGGCGCUUGAGAGAACUCGGGUGAAGGAACUAGGCAAAAUGGUGCCGUAACUUCGGGAGAAGGCACGCUGACACGUAGGUGAAGUGAUUUACUCACGGAGCUGAAGUCAGUCGAAGAUACCAG